GAGGACAGCACUGCCUCUUGUCCUGCCCCAAUGAUGGCAUGCAGCUGGAUGUGGCCUCCAGAGGCCCAAGGAAAGCCUUGCCAAGUGAGAGGGCAAAUGGUACUGAGCUGGGGGCAGCAAGAUGAUGUGGGACAGGGUACCGGUGCUGUGGGGGAUGAAAACCCUUUCACCAGCCUGGGUCCCUAAUGGGAAUCGCUGUUCUCACCUUUCUGACAGAAGCUCUAAAUUAAGGCUGGUGGUUUUAAGAGCCAUUAUUUUUAUUUUUUAAUGAUACACGUGCAUAAAAUUGGAGUGCAUUCUAUUAUUUCAGAAAGAUGACAGCUAACACUGUAAGGAUCACAGGUUUCUUGUAGGAACUGUGGCAUGCCUUAAUGCUGAUUAUUAGCACUAGAAAAGGGAACGCUCCCCUGACUGUCAGUAUACUAUUAUCAAGUGGGAAGUCUUCUGACACUUUGUAAAAUGCCUGUCACAGAUCAUGAGCCUGCAAUACUUAAAUGAACCCUCAAGUUUUCCCCAAGCAUUCUGAGGUGAUGUAAGUCAACCUAAUAAUCUAAAUAGACACUGCAGGAGUGUGUGAGGAGUAAGAAAAUUUCAGUAACGGGACUAACAGUUUAUUUUGGUGUUUGUGUGUGCUGUGGAAGGGGUGAAGGAAGGCAAAGUGCAGGAGUUUAGCAGAUAAAACUCUCAGGAUAUUUCUCUGAUCACCCAGCAAGAUAGCUGUACACAUUACAGGACUGUGUGGGUUGGUGGUGCGAUAUAAAACCUCUGGACUCUCAGGUUCUCGUGCUGUGUGAUGCGACAGAGACCAGAACACUUGCUGUCUGGUGGCUGAUGGUAGAAAAUGAAUGUAUUUACCCGGUGGACGAGCCUUCGCAUCGUUCACCUCACACAAGGUGGUACCAAAGCCUGAGGCCAAGGGAGAUGAAUUGCCCUCUCAUACACCAUAGCAAUUUGAUUUCCCCUGCUCAAAAUUUAAAUGCUUUAAAACAAGCGUGAUUAAAAUCGGGUUGGGUGGUUUUCCUUGCUUGGGUUAAAGUUGUCACGUGGAUCACUGGAGAGCUUUCUUCUGUGGGGAUCUAACUCUUAGGGCAUACCAGGUGGGUUUUAGGUGAGCCCUGGAGUACCCCAGAACAUACCGGGAUUUGUGCCCUCAGUCAGUUUAUUUCUGUCAGUGAAGCAUGACAGUUACCCAUGUUCUACCUCAUGACAUAUCUGUGUGCCAGGGCCUGCCUGCCGAAGGGGACCCAAGGGUCUGCAUUAGGGCUGGAGAUGCCAUGUGCUAUGGUGAUGCUCCCCUGUGGCAAGGUGCCGGUAGCCUGCGGCUGGCUCCCUGCUGCUCAGACAGCUCCCAGUGACCCGUUUGCUCAGUUUCUGUCCCUUUAGGUGUCUGAGGCUGAAGCUGCCAUUUGGGAACUGCCUGGCACCAGCUGGGGACUUGCACCCAAAAGGAGUGACUCCACACAGUCCCAGCCUCACCAGGCUCCCUGGCCAGCCAGUCUUGCCUUCUUGCUGCCAGCCCCACACUGGCCCCGCAGCAGGAAUGCCUGAGACUCUCUCCUAGGAAGCCACGCUGGGUUGUUGCUGGGUUUUAUAUGUUUACAGUUUUUUAAUCUUUGUAAUUCUUUUAAAAAUCUGUCUGUAAUGAAUAUAAAGUUUACUGACUGGGAAAGUGACUGGUUUAAUGUUGUAAAACUCCUUUUUGACCCACAACAGGGCGAAACGACACGGUCCAUCGUGAGCUUUUCAAUAGUGCGUUUUAUGCCUUAUUAUGAUAGCAACAGCGUUCUGUACAGAUUGACAAAUAAAAGUCUGUAAAGCUGAGUGUUGCUGCCAUGCUCCUCUUUGCUCCUUGCUGAACAUCCAGUUGCAGUGGUUGGCUCUUCAUCCCCAUGCCGCUGGGUGCCUUGUCCUCAGCUGCUGGGAGCUGUGGCAUGGCAGGGCCCGAUCCGGCUGCUCCAGCACACUGUGCUUGUCCCCAGCUCACCCAGUGGCUGUGUCCCUGACAGCUGGUCCAUCCAGUCAGAAAGCACCAGACAACGCAGGCUUCCAAACUGCUGCGCCAGUGUCCCACCUAACUCCGGGUAACAAAAAAGCAAAGAGGAAAGAAGGAAGGUGGGCCCAGCCAGGGCUGUGUGAGCAGGAAGCUGGGGAGGUGCUGUGGUGGGAGGUGGGUGUCGAGCCCCUGUCCACCAUAACCCUGUGCAUAACUUGCCACAUCCUCACCCCACGGCUUGGCCAUGGACAGGGUGGGACAGCAGAUGGUAUCAGGCCCAGCACCGGCCGUGGUUACAAUGGUGGGUGUGAGGUCCCCAGAAUGCACUGGUGGUGGUGGGUGAUGUGGGCAGAGGCAGGAGCAGUGCUCCCAGGCGGCUGCAAGCUGGGCAUGACCACCUCGGUGAUGGCUUCACCUCUGCUUCUAGAAGGGACACCAGCCACCUUUUACAGUCUCUACUGCCUCCCAAAUGCAACAGUAAGGUAUGCCAUGAGGAAUGGUAACCAUGGCUGGAAGAGCUCCUGAGAGGUCCUUUUCCAGUCUUCUGGAACUUCAUUCACCCUCAUCAUACCUCAAAUAUAAUUGCUCAUGGCUGUGAAAUUACUUCACUCGGUUCCCUGAGCACUCUGGGGUGAAUUUUAUGAGGCCUACCUGAUUUGAAGAUAUGUAAUGUAUCCGUGUACGCUCUUUUUCUGCUCUUUACGCAGCCUAAGUUCUUUAUAAGUUUUAAGGUCUGUGGGUUGUCUCAGUUGGUUUAGAUUUUUUUUUCAGUGAGUUAAAGAAAAAAUAGUAGGCUGAAGCACUUCAGCCUUCUCAGUGUCAUUUUCAGUUGUGCUUCUCUGUCCCUCCCACAAAGCAAAAAACACAUUCUUUGUCUUUUUUUUCUUUCUAGUAUGAAUAUAGAGUAGUUCCUCAGGACCUUUUUUCUUUUCUAGCAGGAUCUCAUUUGCUUUCCUUG
This is a long non-coding RNA of Neopsephotus bourkii (Bourke's parrot), 2951 nucleotides long. RefSeq lists it as uncharacterized. The record is from RefSeq and is a predicted model, not a curated record. NCBI's taxonomy places the organism in Eukaryota, Metazoa, Chordata, Aves, Psittaciformes, Psittacidae. The transcript is spliced from 2 exons.